RNAcentral lists this transfer RNA (98 nucleotides) under Micromonospora sp. NBRC 101691. RNAcentral describes it as "tRNA-Ser". The record is from RNAcentral. Lineage: Bacteria; Bacillati; Actinomycetota; Actinomycetes; Micromonosporales; Micromonosporaceae.
CCGGUUGGUUCGCGGGCGGGGAGCCGGAGGGCUCCUACUACGGGCCGCCGCUGCGUCUGGCCGAGGACGCCCGGCGGUUCGACAUCUCCCCGGCCUGG